RNAcentral lists this ribosomal RNA (405 nucleotides) under uncultured Oscillospiraceae bacterium. RNAcentral's name for it is "bacterial SSU rRNA". It matches the Rfam family "Bacterial small subunit ribosomal RNA", at positions 355 to 769 of the family's 1533-position model. Lineage: Bacteria; Bacillati; Bacillota; Clostridia; Eubacteriales; Oscillospiraceae. The record is from RNAcentral.
UGGGGAAUAUUGGGCAAUGGGGGAAACCCUGACCCAGCAACGCCGCGUGAAGGAAGAAGGCUUUCGGGUUGUAAACUUCUUUUACCAGGGACGAAGAAAGUGACGGUACCUGGAGAAAAAGCCACGGCUAACUACGUGCCAGCAGCCGCGGUAAUACGUAGGUGGCAAGCGUUGUCCGGAUUUACUGGGUGUAAAGGGCGUGUAGGCGGAGGUUCAAGUCAGAAGUGAAAUCUACCGGGCCGUUAACCCCGGAACCUGCAUUUGAAACUGUUCCCCUUCGAGUAUCGGAGAGGCAAGCGGAAUUCCUAGUGUAGCGGUGAAAUGCGUAGAUAUUAGGAGGAACACCAGUGGCGAAGGCGGCUUGCUGGACGACAACUGACGCUGAGGCGCGAAAGCGUGGGGAGC